AGCAGCCGCGGUAAUUCCAGCUCCAAUAGCGUAUAUUAAAGUUGUUGCAGUUAAAAAGCUCGUAGUUGAACUUCAGGCCUGGCCGGGCGGUCCGCCUAACGGCGUGUACUGUCUGGCCGGGCCUUACCUCCUGGUGAACCGGGGUGCCCUUUAUUGGGCGCCUCGGGGAACCAGGACCUUUACCUUGAGAAAAUUAGAGUGUUCAAAGCAGGCCUAUGCCCGGAUACAUUAGCAUGGAAUAAUAAAAUAGGACGUGCGGUUCUAUUUUGUUGGUUUCUAGAAUCGCCGUAAUGAUUAAUAGGGAUAGUUGGGGGCAUUGGUAUUGAGUCGCUAGAGGUGAAAUUCUUGGAUUGACUCAAGACCAACUAUUGCGAAAGCAUUUGCCAAGGAUGUUUUCAUUAAUCAAGAACGAAGGUUAGGGGAUCGAAGACGAUCAGAUACCGUCGUAGUCUUAACCAUAAACUAUGCCGACUAGGGAUCGGAUGAUGUUAAUUUUAUAAUGACUCA
This 507-nucleotide ribosomal RNA is filed under the name uncultured Lyophyllum. RNAcentral's name for it is "SSU rRNA". It matches the Rfam family "Eukaryotic small subunit ribosomal RNA", at positions 569 to 1078 of the family's 1831-position model. Lineage: Eukaryota; Fungi; Basidiomycota; Agaricomycetes; Agaricales; Lyophyllaceae. The record is from RNAcentral.